This 253-nucleotide ribosomal RNA is filed under the name uncultured bacterium. RNAcentral describes it as "partial 16S ribosomal RNA". It matches the Rfam family "Bacterial small subunit ribosomal RNA", at positions 524 to 776 of the family's 1533-position model. The record is from RNAcentral.
GACAGAGGUGCCGAGCGUUAGGCGGAAUCACUGGGCUUAAAGCGUGUGUAGGCGGAUUUCUAAGUACCUUGUGAAAUCCCAUGGCUUAACCAUGGAACUGCUGGGUAUACUGGAUAUCUUGAGCCAACUAGGGGCUACCGGAACAAAUGGUGGAGCGGUGAAAUGCGUAGAUAUCAUUUGGAACGCCAAAGGUGAAAACAGGUAGCUGGGGUUGUGCUGACGCUGAGACGCGAAAGCUAGGGGAGCAAACGGG